Molecule: ribosomal RNA, 292 nt
Filed under: Dermacentor occidentalis
Lineage: Eukaryota; Metazoa; Arthropoda; Arachnida; Ixodida; Ixodidae
Description: partial 16S ribosomal RNA
Rfam family: Bacterial large subunit ribosomal RNA (bases 149-292)
Source: RNAcentral
GACAAGAAGACCCUAAGAAUUUUAAAAACAAAUAAUUUUUAAAUUUAAAAAUUAUUUGUUUUUUAGUUGGGGCAACUAGAAAAUAUUAUAAACUUUUUUAAAAUAAAAUGACCCAUUAUUAAUGAUAACUUGGAAAAAAUACUCUAGGGAUAACAGCGUAAUAAUUUUUGAUAGAACAUAUAGACAAAAUAGUUUGCGACCUCGAUGUUGGAUUAGGAUACUUUUUUAAUGAAGAUGUUAAAAAAAGAAGUUUGUUCAACUUUUAAAUUCCUACUUGAUCUGAGUUCAGACG